AUUGAACGCUGGCGGCAUGCUUUACACAUGCAAGUCGAACGGCAGCACGGGGGCAACCCUGGUGGCGAGUGGCGAACGGGUGAGUAACACAUCGGAACGUGUCCUGUAGUGGGGGAUAACCUGGCGAAAGCCAGGCUAAUACCGCAUGAUCUCGUGAGAGCAAAGCGGGGGACUCGCAAGAGCCUCGCGCUGUUGGAGCGGCCGAUGUCCGAUUAGCUAGUUGGUGGGGUAAAGGCCUACCAAGGCGACGAUCGGUAGCUGGUCUGAGAGGAUGAUCAGCCACACUGGGACUGAGACACGGCCCAGACUCCUACGGGAGGCUG
This 323-nucleotide ribosomal RNA is filed under the name uncultured Pseudomonadota bacterium. Its description in RNAcentral is "bacterial SSU rRNA". It matches the Rfam family "Bacterial small subunit ribosomal RNA", at positions 30 to 351 of the family's 1533-position model. Lineage: Bacteria; Pseudomonadati; Pseudomonadota. The record is from RNAcentral.